This 617-nucleotide ribosomal RNA is filed under the name uncultured Alphaproteobacteria bacterium. RNAcentral's name for it is "bacterial SSU rRNA". It matches the Rfam family "Bacterial small subunit ribosomal RNA", at positions 28 to 691 of the family's 1533-position model. The record is from RNAcentral. Lineage: Bacteria; Pseudomonadati; Pseudomonadota; Alphaproteobacteria.
AGCGAACGCUGGCGGCAGGCCUAACACAUGCAAGUCGAGCGAGGACUUCGGUCCUAGCGGCGGACGGGUGAGUAACGCGUGGGAACGUGCCCUUUGGUUCGGAAUAGCCCCGGGAAACUGGGAGUAAUACCGGAUAAGCCCUACGGGGGAAAGAUUUAUCGCCAAAGGAUCGGCCCGCGUUGGAUUAGGUAGUUGGUGGGGUAAUGGCCUACCAAGCCGACGAUCCAUAGCUGGUUUGAGAGGAUGAUCAGCCACACUGGGACUGAGACACGGCCCAGACUCCUACGGGAGGCAGCAGUGGGGAAUCUUAGACAAUGGGGGAAACCCUGAUCUAGCCAUGCCGCGUGAGCGAUGAAGGCCUUAGGGUUGUAAAGCUCUUUCAGCUGGGAAGAUAAUGACUGUACCAGCAGAAGAAGCCCCGGCUAACUCCGUGCCAGCAGCCGCGGUAAUACGGAGGGGGCUAGCGUUGUUCGGAAUUACUGGGCGUAAAGCGCACGUAGGCGGACUGGAAAGUUGGGGGUGAAAUCCCGGGGCUCAACCUCGGAACUGCCUUUGAUACUGCAAGGCUUGAGUCUGUGAGAGGAUGGUGGAAUACCCAGUGUAGAGGUAAAAUUCGU